CAGCCUGCCAAACAGACGUCAUCGACAGAGCAAUCCAGCUGAUGAUCGAUCCUCAUUCAGCUGCCCUCCUGCAUGGAUGAAUUCGGGGGAACUGUAAAUGAGGAAUGGCAUAUGGUUUGAUCAAAUUGAUGUGUAGCCUAUGUGAUAUACAGUAUGACAUAUUUAAGCAAUGAUGGACUGAAGAGGACAUUAGAACAUUUCUGAAACAGACUGCUGAAUCUUUGUUCCCCUGGUAACCUGCAACGUGAGGCAGUCCAGCUGGUGAGAGUGGCAUGCUUAUUGACAAAUUCUUCCUAUAGCAAUUGAGCAAAUAAUGUGACGACAAUGAGAGAGGCAGUAGGUGGAACGACAAUGUGAACGUCUGAGGCGGAAGCUCUGGCACGGUCUUACAUUACAUAAAGCCUCAGUGUUGCUUAAUAUUCACCACACCUCCAUCCUUCUGGCUCUGGGACUCUGUCUUUAUCUUAUUUGAGGAUCUUAUAUUCUUCAAUGCAAUCUUCCAGUACUUUUCUCUCUGGCUGCUUAUAUUCUCCAGCAUUUUUUGACAGUGCAGGGAUUUGACUGAGUGAAACUCAGCUGUCAGAAAAGGAACAAUGAAGUCUGCAUCUCCUUUAGGUGCAUAUAUCACACGAGUGAUGCACAACUUUGACCUCAGAGUUUGGCAUUAAUGCACUUCUAACUUGUUUAUUUGAACAAAGGCGGUAACAUGCAUCACAUGCAUAAGAGAAGUUUUCCUAGUGUCUUUCUGUAGUCUUUGAAGUGAAGCUGUGAGUCCAGAGUCCACAGAUGCCUUAUCAAAUAAUGAAAGUGCUGGGGUUACAACAUAUUCAGGUUGUUUGGUGAACACUCAACAGAUACUGCUUUGAAACAGCAGAGGGCAGUGUUUGCUUUGCUUCGCAUAGACCCCUGUUCAUCCAGUGAGUAAUGGAGUCAGGUGCAGGCUGUUUGAUUCAGGUUUGUGAAAAUGUUACAGACAUUACAGUCAUUAUCAGAAGCAUUCAUGCUUCGUUUAACACUUGUUUGUCGAAUUCUAAGAGCUAAAAAAGAAAAAAUGGGAGAUAUUUUACAUUAAAGAUGUCAUUGAAUUUUGCAUGGUUUGGAAAAUAUGGGUUCAA
Long non-coding RNA from Cyprinus carpio (common carp), 1115 nucleotides. RefSeq lists it as uncharacterized. The record is from RefSeq and is a predicted model, not a curated record. The transcript is spliced from 3 exons. Lineage: Eukaryota; Metazoa; Chordata; Actinopteri; Cypriniformes; Cyprinidae.